Leopardus geoffroyi (Geoffroy's cat) is the source of this 1298-nucleotide long non-coding RNA. RefSeq lists it as uncharacterized. NCBI's taxonomy places the organism in Eukaryota, Metazoa, Chordata, Mammalia, Carnivora, Felidae. The record is from RefSeq and is a predicted model, not a curated record. The transcript has 5 exons.
CGAGAGCACGGUAAAUGGCGCUGUCGGUACUCAGUCACAUCCAGCUCCCCGGCGUGCCCGGCGAGCUCACCUGCUGACCCGUCUAAGAAACGCCGCUCUGGUUCUGAUCUCGCCAUGAAUUCCACCCUAUUGCCAGAAAUGGGCUGGUUUCCCUUUGUUGUGCAAAAUGACUGUGUCCUUGAGGAAUGUUUGGAGGGUCUUGGCAACCAGGAAUCAUCCAGAAGCAUAUCUGGUGUCAGCUCAGUUGUGUUGUCAACAUUUCAUUUGGAGUUACCUGACCUUCAGAAGAACUUCAUCCAAUAGCAGACGUGUAUAAACCUCAAGGGUCCUGUGUGAAAAGCUCCAGAUUGGGAACCAGAGGAGUUAUAUGCUUGCCUUCAUCCUUCCCAGGGGUGAUAUUGAAGUUACUUUACAACAGAUGUGGCACAGGUGUGGCAAAGAUUCCAGCCCUGCAGAACAGAAGCUGCUCAAUGCUGGGGCAGGAGCCUGGAUAUUCCCUACCCGAUGGACCAGAAGAUAUUAUCCUUGAUACUCUGAGUGGGACCCCAUCUGAUCACUUGAAGGCUUUUAAGAGCAAAAACUGAGGCUUUCCUCAAGAAGAAAUCUUGCCUCAAGACUGUAGCAUCAAUUUCUACCUGAAUAUCUAGCCUGCCAGUCUGCCCUAUGGAUUUCAAACUUGCCAGCCCCCAUACUGCAUGAGCCAAUUUUUUAAAACAAACUUUAUAUAUAUAUAUAAAGACAGAUAAAGCAUAUGUGGCAAAUGUUAACUGAUAAAUCUAAGUAAAGAGUAUACAGGUGUUCAUUGUAGUAUUGUUUUCUCAAAGCUUGAAAUUCUUAUAAAAAAUUGGGAAAAGUUAAAAAUGUAUUCUAAUGAAAUUUUUUGGAAAGGUAAUACAGAUCAAUCAGCAGAGACACAUAGCCUAAUAAGAAUACUAGAAUUUAAACAUAAAGAAAAACUCCUAUAGAUAUUGCCUUACAAAAUUAAGAAGAAUAAAUCAGUUUGGCAUCAGAAUUCUCCAUUCUGGCACUAAAAAACAGUAGAUCAAUAUCUAAAAAACCCUUGCGGAAGAGAAAAUAUGGCCCCAAAUUUUAGAACCAUUGAAGUAAAAACUCGUGGAAUUUAGUUCUGAGAGCUCUUCAGCCAACUAAAAGUUGAAUGAAGAAGCUGUUGAGGUAAACAGGGUAGUGGUGAGCAAUAAGUUUAUUUACAUUGUUAAGUUAAUCAGUCCAUUAGUUAUUCACUGAGUACCUAUUAUGCACUAGCUCUGGUGAUCAGCUGUAACCCAGAGGGACAUGGU